CCUGGUAGCUCAGAUAAUAAAGAAUCUGCCUGCAAUGCAGAAGACCCAGGUUCAAUUCCUGGGUCAGGA
This 69-nucleotide transfer RNA is filed under the name Ovis aries (sheep). It matches the Rfam family "tRNA". Rfam says of the family: Transfer RNA (tRNA) molecules are approximately 80 nucleotides in length. Their secondary structure includes four short double-helical elements and three loops (D, anti-codon, and T loops). Lineage: Eukaryota; Metazoa; Chordata; Mammalia; Artiodactyla; Bovidae. The record is from Rfam by way of RNAcentral.